GACGAACGCUGGCGGCGUGCUUAACACAUGCAAGUCGAACGGAAAGGCCAGUGCUUGCACUGGUACUCGAGUGGCGAACGGGUGAGUAACACGUGGGUGAUCUGCCUUGCAUUCUGGGAUAAGCUUGGGAAACUGGGUCUAAUACCGGAUAUGAACUGCCUUAAGUGUGGUGGUUGGAAAGUUUUUUCGGUGCAAGAUGAGCUCGGGGCCUAUCAGCUUGUUGGUGGGGUAAUGGCCUACCAAGGCGUCGACGGGUAGCCGGCCUGAGAGGGUGUACGGCCACAUUGGGACUGAGAUACGGCCCAGACUCCUACGGGAGGCAGCAGUGGGGAAUAUUGCACAAUGGGCGGAAGCCUGAUGCAGCGACGCCGCGUGGGGGAUGACGGCCUUCGGGUUGUAAACUCCUUUCGACAGGGACGAAGCGGAAGUGACGGUACCUGUAUAAGAAGCACCGGCUAACUACGUG
Molecule: ribosomal RNA, 466 nt
Filed under: uncultured bacterium
Lineage: Bacteria
Description: partial 16S ribosomal RNA
Rfam family: Bacterial small subunit ribosomal RNA
Source: RNAcentral